AUACGGAGGGUGCAAGCGUUACUCGGAAUCACUGGGCGUAAAGCGCGCGCAGGCGGCUUGAUAAGUUGGAUGUGAGAGCCUACGGCUCAACCGUAGAACUGCAUCCAAAACUGUCAAGCUAGAGUCUGGGAGGGGAAGAUGGAAUUAGUUGUGUAGGGGUAAAAUCCGUAGAGAUAACUAGGAAUACCAAAAGCGAAGGCGAUCUUCUGGGACAGUACUGACGCUGAGGCGCGAAAGCGUGGGGAGCAAACAGGAUUAGAAACCCCUGUAGUCC
Molecule: ribosomal RNA, 274 nt
Filed under: uncultured bacterium
Lineage: Bacteria
Description: partial 16S ribosomal RNA
Rfam family: Bacterial small subunit ribosomal RNA
Source: RNAcentral